CACAGCAAUAGCAUUCAACUUCGAGGCGGGAGUCCACCAUUACAUAGACACCGACACAGAUGACGAGGGUCAGCUGCUCUACAGCGUGGACUCCAGCCCUCCCAAAAGUCUCCACGGGAGUACCAGUCCCAAGUUCAGCACUGGAGCUAGAACGGAGAAGAACCACUUCGAGAGCUCCCCCUUGCCCACCUCCCCUAAGUUCUUAAGGCCGAACUGUGUCUACUCCUCAGAAGGGUUGACUGGAAAAGGCCCUGGGGCUCAAGAGAAAUGCAAGCUGGAGAACCAUACCCCCCCGGAUGUGCACAUGCUGCCUGGGGGAGGAGCACACGGGAGCACUAGGGAUCAGAGUAUCUGAGCUCCCUACCACAGAGGGCAUCUGCAGGAGAAAUCAAGGAGGAGGGAUGCUUGGCUUGCCUGCCACUGAGUUCUGCAUGAACUCCAAGGCCCCCACCACCACAGAGCCCCAGCAAGAGGAGAGACCCCGAGAGCCAUGACCAAUCUGUGGACACUAACUAGCCACGGGGACCACACCUAACAACAUCUUCCUGAGAUGGCCGGAGCAGAGCUGACAGCCACCACUAAGACCUAGCCUAGGACACACACUCCUAGUCUCGUCUGGAGGCUCUCUCAGCCUCUGGAUACACCAUCACCAUCUCUCAAGGCUUCAGCUGAGAUGGGUGUUGGAGCGAGGGGUUGCUAGUGAAAGAGUGGGCUGCCCAAGAAGUACUGGGUGUCGGUCUCCUGUUAGGAGGGUGCAGAGGACCCUUGAUCAUGAGGGAUUCUCUGCUCCGUCAGCCACACUCCUAGGGCAUUGUGAUGCUUACAUAAGCAAGUGGCUCAAAUGAUUCAGUAUUCUGUGGUCCCUGGGGCUUUAUUCGGAGACUCUGUCGGGGUGAGCUGACAAUUUAGACUCAAUUCUUUCUGCCCACCUGGCCAUCCAGGAAGUGUUCCGACGGUUGGCACGCAGCCAGGGCUGGCACAGGAACGUGGGUUCCAAACAACGCUCGUAUGGACUGAAAAGAUACGCAGGCGUCAAAUAUGCAAACGAGAUAGAUUAUUUAAGGAGACUGUGUGUGACUGAAAAGCAACAUUAAAAAAUAAUAAAUUUCAUUUUCUACAUGAAAAAAAAAAAAGAAAAGGAAAAAAAAUCCUUCACUGAACUGCCCUGUGCAGAGUUGUGAGUACUUUCUGCUGUAGCGGGGAAACACACCUACUCUGAGAGGAAGUUCUUUUUUUUUGUUUGUUCGUUUGUUUGAUUUUCAAUUUUCUUUUGUUGUUUUUUUUGGGGGGGUUGUUUUGUUUUGUUUUUUGUUUCCUGUGGUAUUCAAGCUAAAAAAUACUAACAAGUUAAUAAAAAAAAGCACUUUAUGUUUUUCUAAUCUAGGUUCUACCAGGGACAGUGUCAAGAUCUCGCACUUUAAAACAAGCACUAUUUCCCGUGGGCCGCAUGCUGGCACUUGGGGUAUUACUUGUGCCCAUUUCUGGCCACAGUGGGUCUGCCGUUACCACACCAGAGUCCGGGGCUUUU
Molecule: long non-coding RNA, 1528 nt
Filed under: Rattus norvegicus (Norway rat)
Lineage: Eukaryota; Metazoa; Chordata; Mammalia; Rodentia; Muridae
Description: long non-coding RNA NONRATT019988
Source: RNAcentral